This 1491-nucleotide ribosomal RNA is filed under the name Enterobacter sp. RHBSTW-01064. Its description in RNAcentral is "partial 23S ribosomal RNA". It matches the Rfam family "Bacterial large subunit ribosomal RNA", at positions 1 to 1529 of the family's 2925-position model. Lineage: Bacteria; Pseudomonadati; Pseudomonadota; Gammaproteobacteria; Enterobacterales; Enterobacteriaceae. The record is from RNAcentral.
GGGUUGUGAGGUUAAGCGACUAAGCGUACACGGUGGAUGCCCUGGCAGUCAGAGGCGAUGAAGGACGUGCUAAUCUGCGAAAAGCGCCGGCGAGGUGAUAUGAACCUUUGACCCGGCGAUGUCCGAAUGGGGAAACCCAGUGUGUUCCGACACACUAUCGUUAACUGAAUACAUAGGUUAACGAGGCGAACCGGGGGAACUGAAACAUCUAAGUACCCCGAGGAAAAGAAAUCAACCGAGAUUCCCCCAGUAGCGGCGAGCGAACGGGGAGCAGCCCAGAGUCUGAAUCAGCUUGUGUGUUAGUGGAAGCGUCUGGAAAGUCGCACGGUACAGGGUGAUAGUCCCGUACACGAAAGCACACUUGCUGUGAACUCGAAGAGUAGGGCGGGACACGUGGUAUCCUGUCUGAAUAUGGGGGGACCAUCCUCCAAGGCUAAAUACUCCUGACUGACCGAUAGUGAACCAGUACCGUGAGGGAAAGGCGAAAAGAACCCCGGCGAGGGGAGUGAAAAAGAACCUGAAACCGUGUACGUACAAGCAGUGGGAGCCUACUUGUUAGGUGACUGCGUACCUUUUGUAUAAUGGGUCAGCGACUUAUAUUCUGUAGCAAGGUUAACCGUAUAGGGGAGCCGAAGGGAAACCGAGUCUUAACUGGGCGUUAAGUUGCAGGGUAUAGACCCGAAACCCGGUGAUCUAGCCAUGGGCAGGUUGAAGGUUGGGUAACACUAACUGGAGGACCGAACCGACUAAUGUUGAAAAAUUAGCGGAUGACUUGUGGCUGGGGGUGAAAGGCCAAUCAAACCGGGAGAUAGCUGGUUCUCCCCGAAAGCUAUUUAGGUAGCGCCUCGUGAACUCAUCUUCGGGGGUAGAGCACUGUUUCGGCUAGGGGGCCAUCCCGGCUUACCAACCCGAUGCAAACUACGAAUACCGAAGAAUGUUAUCACGGGAGACACACGGCGGGUGCUAACGUCCGUCGUGAAGAGGGAAACAACCCAGACCGCCAGCUAAGGUCCCAAAGUCAUGGUUAAGUGGGAAACGAUGUGGGAAGGCACAGACAGCCAGGAUGUUGGCUUAGAAGCAGCCAUCAUUUAAAGAAAGCGUAAUAGCUCACUGGUCGAGUCGGCCUGCGCGGAAGAUGUAACGGGGCUAAACCAUGCACCGAAGCUGCGGCAGCGACGCUUAUGCGUUGUUGGGUAGGGGAGCGUUCUGUAAGCCGUUGAAGGUGGCCUGUGAGGGUUGCUGGAGGUAUCAGAAGUGCGAAUGCUGACAUAAGUAACGAUAAUGCGGGUGAAAAGCCCGCACGCCGGAAGACCAAGGGUUCCUGUCCAACGUUAAUCGGGGCAGGGUGAGUCGACCCCUAAGGCGAGGCCGAAAGGCGUAGUCGAUGGGAAACAGGUUAAUAUUCCUGUACUUGGUGUUACUGCGAAGGGGGGACGGAGAAGGCUAUGUUAGCCGGGCGACGGUUGUCCCGGUUUAAGCAUGUAGGCGGGA